RNAcentral lists this ribosomal RNA (249 nucleotides) under uncultured Actinomycetales bacterium. RNAcentral's name for it is "partial 16S ribosomal RNA". It matches the Rfam family "Bacterial small subunit ribosomal RNA", at positions 82 to 334 of the family's 1533-position model. Lineage: Bacteria; Bacillati; Actinomycetota; Actinomycetes; Actinomycetales. The record is from RNAcentral.
CUGGGGUACUCGAGUGGCGAACGGGUGAGUAACACGUGGGUGAUCUGCCCUGCACUUCGGGAUAAGCCUGGGAAACUGGGUCUAAUACCGGAUAGGACCAUCGUUUAGUGUCGGUGGUGGAAAGUUUUUUCGGUGUGGGAUGAGCUCGCGGCCUAUCAGCUUGUUGGUGGGGUAAUGGCCUACCAAGGCGUCGACGGGUAGCCGGCCUGAGAGGGUGUACGGCCACAUUGGGACUGAGAUACGGCCCAG